RNAcentral lists this long non-coding RNA (1231 nucleotides) under Gossypium barbadense (sea-island cotton). RNAcentral describes it as "long non-coding RNA (GBAR_LNC000667)". The record is from RNAcentral. Lineage: Eukaryota; Viridiplantae; Streptophyta; Magnoliopsida; Malvales; Malvaceae.
CAUAAUAUAUGCAAAAUUUAAUUCAUCCAAAGCGAACCACCUUUUCAUCAUAAUCUGUUGUUGGUUUUGUGGAUAUAAUAAUUUUCAGCACAAAUCCUUAUUGUCCCAGAGAUUUAUAGGAACCGGACCUCUUUUAUAAGCACAUUUUGAUAAUCCUUUUGCCUGAUUUCUUCCCAUUAAAAAGAAAUAUAUAUAUUGCUAAUAUCCCACGCAUGUAGACUUCAAAUGAAAUAGACAGGCACCGAAAGAUUCACCUUAACCUUCAGGUUGAAAUUAUCAAUGCAGUUUUCUUUGAUAAUGCAUAAAGAGAACAUGAUCGUUUCCAAGGCACCGCCCACCAGUUGUUUGUUGUUUUGUCAGUUAUAUAUAAACCAUCUCCCUAGACUCCAAUUGCUUUUUCUCAAGCACGGUCGUUGACAUUGCUAGCUAGGAGGGGCCACAUAUACGUGUUGAUAUUCCAACACCAGCAAGCAGCAUUGGCAUUGCCCUUCGCCAUCCAAAUUGCGGAUAUGGGGCUAUUGCCUUUAUGUGGUUCAAAAGGUUUCCAAUAAAAAGAAAACAACUGCGCAUGUUCUUCAGCCCUUGGAGUGUACUGUCUAGAAAGAAAACUAAUAAAAAGGUGGUGGUGCCUACCUUUUGUCCAUCUUAACUUUUUGCUUUCCAAUAUUCUCUUCCUAGAACCACACAUAGACUUUGAAAAUUAAAUCAUUCACAAAAGUAACCACUCAUUUAGAGGAGUCAUUGCAAGCAAUUCAACAAAUAAAGUUCGCUCAUAGUGGCUCGACUAGAGUUAUCUUAGGAUAAUUUCACUUCCCGGAAAAGAGAAAUUAAUCAGUCUACUUUAAUUUAUCAUAAAUUCAUUGUUUUUUUUAACGAAAAAUGUGAGUUCAUUCAUUAUUUAUUUUAUUUGACUUUGAAAAGGUAAAUGAGUUUUAAUAUUGAUUUUAGUAUAUGCAAUUUCAAAUUACCAUUUGGUAUCAGAUUUUGUGACUCUCGGUAUUCUUAAACUCGUGUCUUUAUCAAUUUUCUUGUUGAAACAAAAUUCGAGUGCCGCAAAAUUGUUCUUCCCCAGAAAAAUUACAUUGUUUAAUUCCAGAUAAGGGGUAAAAAAUAUUUUUAGUAGAAAAAAUAAAACAAUAUUCUAUAGUUGGAAUUUAGUGCCCAAAAUUUCUAGAUCUUAAAUUCAUUAAUUGUGGAAGCAUCCCAUAAAAUUUUAUGAUUUUAGUACGCC